This 492-nucleotide ribosomal RNA is filed under the name uncultured bacterium. Its description in RNAcentral is "partial 16S ribosomal RNA". It matches the Rfam family "Bacterial small subunit ribosomal RNA", at positions 29 to 507 of the family's 1533-position model. The record is from RNAcentral.
AGUGAACGCUGGCGGUAGGCCUAACACAUGCAAGUCGAACGGCAGCACAGUAAGAGCUUGCUCUUACGGGUGGCGAGUGGCGGACGGGUGAGGAAUACAUCGGAAUCUACUUUUUCGUGGGGGAUAACGUAGGGAAACUUACGCUAAUACCGCAUACGACCUACGGGUGAAAGCAGGGGAUCUUCGGACCUUGCGCGAUUGAAUGAGCCGAUGUCGGAUUAGCUAGUUGGCGGGGUAAAGGCCCACCAAGGCGACGAUCCGUAGCUGGUCUGAGAGGAUGAUCAGCCACACUGGAACUUAGACACGGUCCAGACUCCUACGGGAGGCAGCAGUGGGGAAUAUUGGACAAUGGGCGCAAGCCUGAUCCAGCCAUACCGCGUGGGUGAAGAAGGCCUUCGGGUUGUAAAGCCCUUUUGUUGGGGAAGAAAAGCAGCAGGUUAAUACCCCGCUGUUCUGACGGUACCCAAAGAAUAAGCACCGGCUAACUUCGUG